Molecule: ribosomal RNA, 584 nt
Filed under: Glomus sp.
Lineage: Eukaryota; Fungi; Glomeromycota; Glomeromycetes; Glomerales; Glomeraceae
Description: partial large subunit ribosomal RNA
Rfam family: Eukaryotic large subunit ribosomal RNA
Source: RNAcentral
GAGUUGUAGUCUAGAGAAGCAUCAUCCGUGCUGGACCAUGUACAAGUCUCUUGGAACAGAGCGUCAUAGAGGGUGAGAAUCCCGUCCUUGACAUGGACUCCCAGUACUUUGUGUUGUGCUCUCAACGAGUCGAGUUGUUUGGGAAUGCAGCUCAAAAUGGGUGGUAAAUUCCAUCUAAAGCUAAAUAUUGGCGAGAGACCGAUAGCGAACAAGUACCGUGAGGGAAAGAUGAAAAGAACUUUGAAAAGAGAGUAAAAUAGUACGUGAAAUUGUUGAAAGGGAAACGAUUGAAGUCAGUCGUACCGACGGAAAAUCAACUCUUCGAGUGUGGACUUUGUGGACGUGCGUGAGCUUUAACGGCCUCGCUGUUUGUAACGUUCGUGCUUUUUGGGUGUACUUUUUCGUAUGGUAGGCCAACAUCAGUUUUGAUCGCUAUAAAAUGACCGGAGGAACGUAGCUUCGAUCUCGUAUUGAAGUGUUAUAGCCUUUGGUAGAUGUGGUGAUUGGGACUGAGGAUUGCAACGAAUAUCCUUUGGGCUAUCCGUCUGAUCUCUGAAAGUCGCUUAGGUGCCGAAAGCUUGCUU